Non-coding RNA from Triticum aestivum (bread wheat), 174 nucleotides. The record is from Rfam. Lineage: Eukaryota; Viridiplantae; Streptophyta; Magnoliopsida; Poales; Poaceae.
AGUUGAGUCAUCUAUUUUAGAACGGAGGGAGUAUAUUGUAAACAACAGCCACUUCUCCACUGCAUGUGUUCUCAUUUGGUCAUAACCUUUGUGGUUUGUCUAUAGGCUGGAAUGCCCAUUUGCCCCCGGUUUGGUUCAGCUCUGAAUGUUCUAUUAAGUGGGUUCCUUUCACUU